AGACGGGGGGUGCUAGCGUUGUUCGGAAUUACUGGGCGUAAAGGGCGCGUAGGCGGCUCUGCGAGUCGGGCGUGAAAUCCCGGGGCUCAACCCCGGAACGGCGCUCGAUACUGCGGGGCUGGAGACCGGAAGAGGAGGGUGGAAUUCCCAGUGUAGAGGUGAAAUUCGUAGAUAUUGGGAGAACACCGGUGGCGAAAGCGGCUCUCUGGUCCGGUUCUGACGCUGAGGCGCGAAAGCGUGGGGAGCAAACAGGAUUAGAAACCCUAGUAGUCC
This 273-nucleotide ribosomal RNA is filed under the name uncultured bacterium. RNAcentral describes it as "partial 16S ribosomal RNA". It matches the Rfam family "Bacterial small subunit ribosomal RNA", at positions 523 to 796 of the family's 1533-position model. The record is from RNAcentral.